UUUGGUUCCAUUCAGGUCCAGAGCUAAGGCUGGGAUUAUGUGAAGAUUUUAGAAAAUAAUCUCAAGGAACAGGAGAGUAGACUGAAAAAGUAAAAUGAGGAAAGAGAAGUAGCCAAAGAAAAGAACUGUUGUUGAGCUGAAUUCUGCUCUAGGCACCUAGAUCUCAGACCCACAGGGAUCCUCCAAGGAGCAAUGUAUACCCAUAAUUUUUCACUCUAAAAGUGGAAAAGCAGAGAAUUUAUACACUGAUUCUUGGUCAUGGAGUGUCCCAGCCAGGGGCCACAAAACUUCUAACUUCUAGGUUUGAACAAGGGUCAAAAUAACUGAGACCCUCCUGCAGGUGGAGGAGCUGCAGAAGACAGCAGAUGUCGUUGAGGUGGGGCCUUCCCAGGCUACAGCAGCAGAACCUGAUUCCAUCAGAAUAGACUUAUGCUUGUGACCCCAGGGCCCUCAGCAAUGUCAGGAACAGGGGUAGCUAGACGGAAUGUAGAUGAAGGAGAAAAAUCUCUGUUAAGAGAUAAAGUAUUUUUAGGCUCACAAAAACAGACAAAAUAUUUCAGAACACUGCUGUCUUUAAAUGAACCCAGUGCUACACCUACACCAAUACUGUCUCAUUUUCUCACCGGUACUGGAGUCCUGUGGCUUCUGUAACAUAUUACCAUGAAGUCUGUGGCUUAAAUCAACAGGAAUUGUUCUCUCGUCCAGAAGGCCAAUCAAUCUCACUGGGGCAAAAUCAAGGUAAACAGCAGUGAUAUCAUUCCAGGAGAAGAAAGCAGAUAGUGGAGGGAGCACAGGACUUGAAAUGGAAGACAGAUUUCAAGCCAGCAAUUCCACUUGAGAGCUGUGGAAUUAACUGCACUUCAGUCUCUCUAAAGACUAUAAGCCUGUGGGCACUGUACUUUUCUCAGCCUCAGUUUGAUUUUGUUGUCUUUUGUUUGUGAGUUUAUUGUUAUUAUAAUCAAAUGCAUCUCAUAGCAAUCCUGGGAGAAAUAUAUUCGAAAGCAGUUUAAAGCGCAAAAUGCAAAAUGAAAGUUAGUUAUUAUUGAUAGCAGUAAGUAGAAAGUGAAGCUGGAGUUCGA
RNAcentral lists this long non-coding RNA (1079 nucleotides) under Homo sapiens (human). RNAcentral describes it as "HSALNT0206257". Lineage: Eukaryota; Metazoa; Chordata; Mammalia; Primates; Hominidae. The record is from RNAcentral.